GAUGAACGCUAGCGAUAGGCUUAACACAUGCAAGUCGAGGGGCAUCGAGGUGUAGCAAUACACUGUCGGCGACCGGCGUAAGGGUGCGUAACGCGUAUGCAACUUGCCUGUCAGCGGGGGAUAACCCGGAGAAAUUCGGACUAAUACCGCAUACACUCUUUUCUUCGCAUGGGGGGGAAGAGGAAAGAUUAAUUGCUGACAGAUAGGCAUGCGUUCCAUUAGAUAGUUGGUGAGGUAACGGCUCACCAAGUCGACGAUGGAUAGGGGAGCUGAGAGGCUAGUCCCCCACACUGGUACUGAGACACGGACCAG
Molecule: ribosomal RNA, 312 nt
Filed under: uncultured bacterium
Lineage: Bacteria
Description: bacterial SSU rRNA
Rfam family: Bacterial small subunit ribosomal RNA
Source: RNAcentral